Molecule: unclassified non-coding RNA, 376 nt
Filed under: uncultured fungus
Lineage: Eukaryota; Fungi
Description: sequence contains ITS1
Rfam family: 5.8S ribosomal RNA (bases 1-105)
Source: RNAcentral
AAAGUGCGAUAAGCAAUGCGAAUUGCAGAAUUCCGCGAAUCAUCAGAUUCUUGAACGCAAAUGGCGCUGGAGGGAUCUCCUUCCAGCAUGUCUGUUUCAGUGUCUGAAAACUUCCAACAAAGGUAUAUGUAUAUUUAUAUAUGUGUACCUAACUUGAUGUGUUUGACCUGAAAGUAGGAUUCUUCCCCACUUUCUUAGUCUCACACUAAUUCAUGUAUGCACGGAUAUUUGGGUCCAUCGAAUUGGUCAUCGAUUUAUUCGGUGAUUUCGAUGCGAUUAAAAUUACUCAAUUAUCCAAUUAGUGCAUAGAAAUCACAUUCAAAACACUUAAUCUUUUUUGCAUCUGAAAUCAGGCAAGAACACCCGCUGAACUUAA